AUUGAACGCUGGCGGCAUGCCUUACACAUGCAAGUCGAACGGUAACGGGCCUUCGGGUGCCGACGAGUGGCGAACGGGUGAGUAAUACAUCGGAACGUGCCCGAUCGUGGGGGAUAACGAGGCGAAAGCUUUGCUAAUACCGCAUACGAUCUACGGAUGACAGCAGGGGACCGCAAGGCCUUGCGCGGACGGAGCGGCCGAUGGCAGAUUAGGUAGUUGGUGGGAUAAAAGCUUACCAAGCCGACGAUCUGUAGCUGGUCUGAGAGGAUGAUCAGCCACACUGGGACUGAGACACGGUCCAGACUCCUACGGGAGGCAGCAGUGGGGAAUUUUGGACAAUGGGCGCAAGCCUGAUCCAGCCAUGCCGCGUGCAGGAUGAAGGCCUUCGGGUUGUAAACUGCUUUUGUACGGAACGAAAAGCCUUCUUUUAAUACAGGAGGGUCAUGACGGUACCGUAAGAAUAAGCACCGGCUAACUACGUG
Molecule: ribosomal RNA, 482 nt
Filed under: uncultured bacterium
Lineage: Bacteria
Description: partial 16S ribosomal RNA
Rfam family: Bacterial small subunit ribosomal RNA
Source: RNAcentral